This 453-nucleotide ribosomal RNA is filed under the name uncultured Rhodocyclaceae bacterium. RNAcentral's name for it is "bacterial SSU rRNA". It matches the Rfam family "Bacterial small subunit ribosomal RNA", at positions 930 to 1382 of the family's 1533-position model. The record is from RNAcentral. Lineage: Bacteria; Pseudomonadati; Pseudomonadota; Betaproteobacteria; Rhodocyclales; Rhodocyclaceae.
CGGUGGAUGAUGUGGAUUAAUUCGAUGCAACGCGUAAAACCUUACCUACCCUUGACAUGUCCGGAAUCCCGAAGAGAUUUGGGAGUGCUCGCAAGAGAGCCGGAACACAGGUGCUGCAUGGCUGUCGUCAGCUCGUGUCGUGAGAUGUUGGGUUAAGUCCCGCAACGAGCGCAACCCUUGUCAUUAGUUGCCAUCAUUUGGUUGGGCACUCUAAUGAGACUGCCGGUGACAAACCGGAGGAAGGUGGGGAUGACGUCAAGUCCUCAUGGCCCUUAUGGGUAGGGCUUCACACGUCAUACAAUGGUCGGUACAGAGGGUUGCCAACCCGCGAGGGGGAGCUAAUCCCACAAAGCCGAUCGUAGUCCGGAUCGCAGUCUGCAACUCGACUGCGUGAAGUCGGAAUCGCUAGUAAUCGUGGAUCAGCAUGUCACGGUGAAUACGUUCCCGGGUCUU